Molecule: ribosomal RNA, 230 nt
Filed under: uncultured bacterium
Lineage: Bacteria
Description: partial 16S ribosomal RNA
Rfam family: Bacterial small subunit ribosomal RNA
Source: RNAcentral
AAAGCGUGCGCAGGCGGUUUUGUAAGACUGUCGUGAAAUCCCCGGGCUCAACCUGGGAAUGGCGAUGGUGACUGCAAGGCUAGAGUUUGGCAGAGGGGGGUAGAAUUCCACGUGUAGCAGUGAAAUGCGUAGAUAUGUGGAGGAACACCGAUGGCGAAGGCAGCCCCCUGGGUCAAAACUGACGCUCAUGCACGAAAGCGUGGGGAGCAAACAAGAUUAGAUACCCCAGU